This 507-nucleotide ribosomal RNA is filed under the name uncultured bacterium. RNAcentral's name for it is "bacterial SSU rRNA". It matches the Rfam family "Bacterial small subunit ribosomal RNA", at positions 28 to 526 of the family's 1533-position model. The record is from RNAcentral.
GAUGAACGCUAGCGGCAGGCCUAACACAUGCAAGUCGAGGGGUAACAGGUUUAGUUUACUAAAUGCUGACGACCGGCGCACGGGUGCGUAACGCGUAUGCAACCUACCUAUAACAAGGGGAUAGCUUAGAGAAAUUUGAAUUAAUACCCUAUGAUGUAAUUGACUGGCAUCGGUUAAUUAUUAAAGAUUUAUUUUGGUUAUAGAUGGGCAUGCGUAGCAUUAGCUAGAUGGUGAGGUAAAGGCUCACCAUGGCGACGAUGCUUAGGGGUUCUGAGAGGAAGGUCCCCCACACUGGUACUGAGACACGGACCAGACUCCUACGGGAGGCAGCAGUGAGGAAUAUUGGUCAAUGGACGGAAGUCUGAACCAGCCAUGCCGCGUGUAGGAAGACUGCCCUAUGGGUUGUAAACUACUUUUAUAUAGGAAGAAAGUUUGUCUUGCGAGAUAAUUUGACGGUACUAUAUGAAUAAGCACCGGCUAACUCCGUGCCAGCCGCCGCCGUAACAC